This is a non-coding RNA of Homo sapiens (human), 117 nucleotides long. It matches the Rfam family "Metazoan signal recognition particle RNA". Rfam says of the family: The signal recognition particle (SRP) is a universally conserved ribonucleoprotein. It is involved in the co-translational targeting of proteins to membranes. The record is from Rfam. NCBI's taxonomy places the organism in Eukaryota, Metazoa, Chordata, Mammalia, Primates, Hominidae.
GCUGGGUGUGGUGGCUCAUGCCUGUAAUCCCAGCACUUUGGGAGGCUGAGGCAGGCGGAUUGCUUGAGCCCAGGAGUUCAAGACCAGCCUGAGCAACAUAGCAAGACCCUGUCUCUA